Molecule: ribosomal RNA, 502 nt
Filed under: uncultured bacterium
Lineage: Bacteria
Description: bacterial SSU rRNA
Rfam family: Bacterial small subunit ribosomal RNA
Source: RNAcentral
GAUCAUGGCUCAGGAUGAACGCUAGCUACAGGCUUAACACAUGCAAGUCGAGGGGCAGCAUGAACUUAGCUUGCUAAGUUUGAUGGCGACCGGCGCACGGGUGAGUAACACGUAUCCAACCUGCCGAUGACUCGGGGAUAGCCUUUCGAAAGAAAGAUUAAUACCCGAUGGCAUAGUUCUUCCGCAUGGUAGAACUAUUAAAGAAUUUCGGUCAUCGAUGGGGAUGCGUUCCAUUAGGUUGUUGGCGGGGUAACGGCCCACCAAGCCUUCGAUGGAUAGGGGUUCUGAGAGGAAGGUCCCCCACAUUGGAACUGAGACACGGUCCAAACUCCUACGGGAGGCAGCAGUGAGGAAUAUUGGUCAAUGGGCGCAGGCCUGAACCAGCCAAGUAGCGUGAAGGAUGACUGCCCUAUGGGUUGUAAACUUCUUUUAUAAAGGAAUAAAGUCGGGUAUGUAUACCCGUUUGCAUGUACUUUAUGAAUAAGGAUCGGCUAACUCCGUG